Non-coding RNA from Schistosoma rodhaini, 45 nucleotides. NCBI's taxonomy places the organism in Eukaryota, Metazoa, Platyhelminthes, Trematoda, Strigeidida, Schistosomatidae. The record is from Rfam.
AUCUAGCUGAUCAGUCCUAAAUAGGAUGAGACGCGUGUCGUGGAU